Xenopus laevis (African clawed frog) is the source of this 95-nucleotide non-coding RNA. The record is from Rfam. NCBI's taxonomy places the organism in Eukaryota, Metazoa, Chordata, Amphibia, Anura, Pipidae.
UCAUCCCUGUGAUGUGAGCACUGGGCUCUGAAGCCUCAUUUGCUGAUACUCGUGCCUCUCUGUGACUUUGACAUACAGAGAGACUGAGGGAAUGA